Long non-coding RNA from Melanotaenia boesemani (Boeseman's rainbowfish), 313 nucleotides. RefSeq lists it as uncharacterized. Lineage: Eukaryota; Metazoa; Chordata; Actinopteri; Atheriniformes; Melanotaeniidae. The record is from RefSeq and is a predicted model, not a curated record. The transcript has 2 exons.
CAGCUCCAGUGAUUUUCUUGUGUCUCUUUGCAAGUAACUCACCUUGUUAUCUCUACUCCUCAGCAUUUUGAUGUUCAUACCUUGGAGACUUACAAGCAACUCUGGGUCAGGACAUGUCUUUCUGCCAGCCUACCACCUGCUGUUAGUGUCUGCCUGCUCGCCCUGCCACCUAACUCAUCCACCUCAACCAGAGAUCAUUCCCUGGCUUUACCCUCCACCAUCAGACAACCACCGGAUCAUAUUUCCUGGACCUGGACCAAGCCUCCCGCAUAUUCGUGAAAAGGUGGAUAACAAUGUUCAUUUCAUCCCUUAA